RNAcentral lists this ribosomal RNA (274 nucleotides) under uncultured bacterium. RNAcentral describes it as "partial 16S ribosomal RNA". It matches the Rfam family "Bacterial small subunit ribosomal RNA", at positions 523 to 796 of the family's 1533-position model. The record is from RNAcentral.
AUACGGAGUGUGCAAGCGUUACUCGGAAUCACUGGGCGUAAAGCGCGCGCAGGCGGCUAUUUAAGUUGGAUGUGAAAGCCUACGGCUCAACCGUAGAACUGCAUCCAAAACUGUCAAGCAAGAGUCUGGGAGGGGAAGAUGGAAUUAGUUGUGUAGGGGUAAAAUCCGUAGAGAUAACUAGGAAUACCAAAAGCGAAGGCGAUCUUCUGGAACAGUACUGACGCUGAGGCGCGAAAGCGUGGGGAGCAAACAGGAUUAGAAACCCGGGUAGUCC